RNAcentral lists this non-coding RNA (975 nucleotides) under Acanthisitta chloris (rifleman). RNAcentral's name for it is "12S ribosomal RNA". It matches the Rfam family "Bacterial small subunit ribosomal RNA". The record is from RNAcentral. Lineage: Eukaryota; Metazoa; Chordata; Aves; Passeriformes; Acanthisittidae.
AAAGACUCAGUCCUAACCUUAUAGUUAGUUUCUGCUAGAUAUAUACAUGCAAGUAUCCGCACUCCAGUGUAAAUGCCCUCUAACCCCCUUACCAAGGCAAUUAGGAGCAGGUAUCAGGCGCACUAAACCCCCCUGUAGCCCAAGACACCUUGCUCAGCCACWCCCCCACGGGUAUUCAGCAGUAAUUGACAUUAAGCAAUAAGUGAAAACUUGACUUAGUCAUAGCRRCCCCAUUUAGGGUUGGUAAAUCUUGUGCCAGCCAMCGCGGUCAUACAAGAAACCCAAAUUAACUUUUAUGCGGCGUAAAGAGUGGCYCCAGUAAUAUCCCCAACAACUAAAAUUAAAAUACAMCUAAGCYGUCAUAAGCCCAARAUGUACCUAAACCCCCUACGAACAUAUUUUAGUCCUAAGAUUAACCACAASCCACGAAASCCAAGGCACAAACUGGGAUUAGAUACCCCACUAUGCUUGGCCCUAAAUCUUGAUCCUUCCCCCACUGAAGCAUCCGCCCGAGAACUACGAGCACAAACGCUUAAAACUCUAAGGACUUGGCGGUGCUCUAAACCCAUCUAGAGGAGCCUGUUCUGUAAUCGAUAACCCACGAUGUACCUAACCCUCCCUCGCCGAAUCAGCCUAUAUACCGCCGUCGCCAGUUCACCUUUACUGAAAGCCCAACAGUGAACACAAUAGUCCAGGCCCACUAAUAAGACAGGUCAAGGUAUAGCCCAUGGGAGGGAAGAAAUGGGCUACAUUCUCUAAACUAGAGUAUACCGCAAGGGACGUGAAAUCUUCCCCAAAAGGCGGAUUUAGCAGUAAAGCGGAACAAUAGUGUCCCCUUUAAACCGGCUCUAGAGCACGUACAUACCGCCCGUCACCCUCCUCACAAGCUAUCAGCCUACUAACUAAUACACCACCAAGCUAAAGAUGAGGUAAGUCGUAACAAGGUAAGCGUACCGGAAGGUGCGCUUAGUCCAC